CUCAUGACGAACGCUGGCGGCGUGCUUAACACAUGCAAGUCGAACGGAAAGGCCCUGCUUUUGUGGGGUGCUCGAGUGGCGAACGGGUGAGUAACACGUGAGUAACCUGCCCUUGACUUUGGGAUAACUUCAGGAAACUGGGGCUAAUACCGGAUAGGAGCUCCUGCUGCAUGGUGGGGGUUGGAAAGUUUCGGCGGUUGGGGAUGGACUCGCGGCUUAUCAGCUUGUUGGUGGGGUAGUGGCUUACCAAGGCUUUGACGGGUAGCCGGCCUGAGAGGGUGACCGGCCACAUUGGGACUGAGAUACGGCCCAGACUCCUACGGGAGGCAGCAGUGGGGAAUAUUGCACAAUGGGCGGAAGCCUGAUGCAGCAACGCCGCGUGCGGGAUGACGGCCUUCGGGUUGUAAACCGCUUUCGCCUGUGACGAAGCGUGAGUGACGGUAAUGGGUAAAGAAGCACCGGCUAACUACGUGCCAGCAGCCGCGGUGAUACGUAGGGUGCGAGCGUUGUCCGGAUUUAUUGGGCGUAAAGGGCUCGUAGGUGGUUGAUCGCGUCGGAAGUGUAAUCUUGGGGCUUAACCCUGAGCGUGCUUUCGAUACGGGUUGACUUGAGGAAGGUAGGGGAGAAUGGAAUUCCUGAUGGAGCGGUGGAAUGCGCAGAUAUCAGGAGGAACACCAGUGGCGAAGGCGGUUCUCUGGGCCUUUCCUGACGCUGAGGAGCGAAAGCGUGGGGGAGCGAACAGGCUUAGAUACCCUGGUAGUCCAUGCUGUAAACGGUGGGUACUAGGUGUGGGGUCCAUUCCACGGGUUCCGUGCCGUAGCUAACGCUUUAAGUACCCCGCCUGGGGAGUACGGCCGCAAGGCUAAAACUCAAAGGAAUUGACGGGGCCCCGCACAAGCGGCGGAGCAUGCGGAUUAAUUCGAUGCAACGCGUAGAACCUUACCUGGGUUUGACAUGGAUCGGGAGUGCUCAGAGAUGGGUGUGCCUCUUUUGGGGUCGGUUCACAGGUGGUGCAUGGCUGUCGUCAGCUCGUGUCGUGAGAUGUUGGGUUAAGUCCCGCAACGAGCGCAACCCUUGUUCACUGUUGCCAGCACGUUAUGGUGGGGACUCAGUGGAGACCGCCGGGGUCAACUCGGAGGAAGGUGGGGAUGACGUCAAGUCAUCACGCCCCUUAUGUCCAGGGCUUCACGCAUGCUACAAUGGCUGGUACAGAGAGUGGCGAGCCUGUGAGGGUGAGCGAAUCUCGGAAAGCCGGUCUCAGUUCGGAUUGGGGUCUGCAACUCGACCUCAUGAAGUCGGAGUCGCUAGUAAUCGCAGAUCAGCAACGCUGCGGUGAAUACGUUCCCGGGGCUUGUACACACCGCCCGUCAAGUCAUGAAAGUUGGUAACACCCGAAGCCGGUGGCCUAACCGUUGUGGGGGAGCCGUCGAAGGUGGGACUGGUG
RNAcentral lists this ribosomal RNA (1444 nucleotides) under uncultured organism. RNAcentral describes it as "16S ribosomal RNA". It matches the Rfam family "Bacterial small subunit ribosomal RNA". The record is from RNAcentral.